Molecule: ribosomal RNA, 1207 nt
Filed under: Staphylococcus aureus
Lineage: Bacteria; Bacillati; Bacillota; Bacilli; Caryophanales; Staphylococcaceae
Description: partial 23S ribosomal RNA
Rfam family: Bacterial large subunit ribosomal RNA
Source: RNAcentral
CGAAUGCCAAUUAAUUUAACUUGGGAGUCAGAACAUGGGUGAUAAGGUCCGUGUUCGAAAGGGAAACAGCCCAGACCACCAGCUAAGGUCCCAAAAUAUAUGUUAAGUGGAAAAGGAUGUGGCGUUGCCCAGACAACUAGGAUGUUGGCUUAGAAGCAGCCAUCAUUUAAAGAGUGCGUAAUAGCUCACUAGUCGAGUGACACUGCGCCGAAAAUGUACCGGGGCUAAACAUAUUACCGAAGCUGUGGAUUGUCCUUUGGACAAUGGUAGGAGAGCGUUCUAAGGGCGUUGAAGCAUGAUCGUAAGGACAUGUGGAGCGCUUAGAAGUGAGAAUGCCGGUGUGAGUAGCGAAAGACGGGUGAGAAUCCCGUCCACCGAUUGACUAAGGUUUCCAGAGGAAGGCUCGUCCGCUCUGGGUUAGUCGGGUCCUAAGCUGAGGCCGACAGGCGUAGGCGAUGGAUAACAGGUUGAUAUUCCUGUACCACCUAUAAUCGUUUUAAUCGAUGGGGGGACGCAGUAGGAUAGGCGAAGCGUGCGAUUGGAUUGCACGUCUAAGCAGUAAGGCUGAGUAUUAGGCAAAUCCGGUACUCGUUAAGGCUGAGCUGUGAUGGGGAGAAGACAUUGUGUCUUCGAGUCGUUGAUUUCACACUGCCGAGAAAAGCCUCUAGAUAGAAAAUAGGUGCCCGUACCGCAAACCGACACAGGUAGUCAAGAUGAGAAUUCUAAGGUGAGCGAGCGAACUCUCGUUAAGGAACUCGGCAAAAUGACCCCGUAACUUCGGGAGAAGGGGUGCUCUUUAGGGUUAACGCCCAGAAGAGCCGCAGUGAAUAGGCCCAAGCGACUGUUUAUCAAAAACACAGGUCUCUGCUAAACCGUAAGGUGAUGUAUAGGGGCUGACGCCUGCCCGGUGCUGGAAGGUUAAGAGGAGUGGUUAGCUUCUGCGAAGCUACGAAUCGAAGCCCCAGUAAACGGCGGCCGUAACUAUAACGGUCCUAAGGUAGCGAAAUUCCUUGUCGGGUAAGUUCCGACCCGCACGAAAGGCGUAACGAUUUGGGCACUGUCUCAACGAGAGACUCGGUGAAAUCAUAGUACCUGUGAAGAUGCAGGUUACCCGCGACAGGACGGAAAGACCCCGUGGAGCUUUACUGUAGCCUGAUAUUGAAAUUCGGCACAGCUUGUACAGGAUAGGUAGGAGCCUUUGAAACGU